CCAGGUAAAUAUAUCUGUCUUCUCAACUAUUUAUCAUCCCUUUAGAGUGAAACUAUAAAAGUUAUUUUAAUUAUUUAAUAUAAUACUUCUAUAUUUAGUCUUUGAGUCAUGUAUAUCUCCAAGGUAUUUUUUAAAUCACUUUUCUGGCCCUCCUCCCCUCCAGCAUUUGGAAAUGCAGACUGUGGCUCUCUGCCUGCCUAUACAACCCCACCCCAGAACUACUUGUUCCUAUGUAGAGUAGUUUAGUAUCCAAUGAACAACACCCCACCCCUCUUUCCUGACCCACCUACCCCUGGCAUCUGAGAGCCUCACUGUACACUCAAUUUCUGUAUGAAUCCAUGGGUAUUCUUUGAAACUAUUUUCCCUACUGACUUGAGAGGAAUGUCUAAGCAUAUUUUCAUAUUUAGUUGCUCAACUGAUAAAGCAUGGUGUUGUACUUGCCAAUGCAAGUAAAUUUAAUACUGUUUAGUAACUGAACAUCCUUUCUUUUUAAAUGUUUGUCUGACCAAGCUGUUUUGUCUUGCUUUUCUCCCUUUUGGUUGUUACGUUGAGACAGGAAGAACCUAGGCCUGGCAAUUCUAUCCCUUCCAUCUCCACAGUGCUGGGAUGUUUGGAUUAUUUUAUUUUUUUUCUUAUGACCUUUACAACCAGUGCACUUAAACUAUGAAAUAAUUGACAUUUUACUGGAAUAGAAUUAAACUUACUGUAGAGAGGAAUCCGUGGUGUGAAACCCUCCCAGGAAAGAUUAGUGUUUUUCUUCUGAAGUACUGCAAUGGUCUUUAUAUAGUUUUGGGAUCUAUGUCAGUUAAGUCUGUUCACAGGCAUUUUAUCCUUAUUACUGCUAUUACAGACGGCUCAUAUCUUCCACUAUAUCUUCUGAUUUUGUCAAAUGAAUACAUGAUAUUUUUUUGCGUACUGAUUCUCUGUCUCACCAUCUAACUGUAUUCUUGUGUUUUCCAUGUAUCAAGUCAGAUUCUUGUUAAUCGUAGUAUGGUAAUCUCUUCCUUCCCUACUUCUCUGCCUCCCUUCUUUUCUCCAGCUUAUUUUUCCAUUGAUAAGUAUUUUGUCACUUCUUCCAUGGAUUCUCACAUCUGCUCAUGUUCAUCUUUCUUCUUCCAUAGAGAUGUUUAUAUUUAAAUUAAUGAUGGAUAGUUCCUAUUUCUUCAAAAGUUUUACUGCAACUUUUUGGAUGACUGGUGCUGAUGUCUUUAAUGCACUUCUCUAUGUUUUUCUUAGUAUCCUAUGGCUGGUAUUCUACUCUUCAGAAAACAUAAUCUGUCAGUGAAUGAUCUGAGUGUUUAUGAAUUUAAAAGAGUUAUGGGAGGGUGGGAGGCCUCCAGUUGUCCCAGACACCUUUUAAGCUCUGACACAGAUCAACUGUCUCCUGCCAACAUGGUACAGCAUAUACCCAUUUGUCCAACCCUGCUACCUCUUCAUCCUCAAACCCAUCCAACUCUGCCACCAAAUCUCCCUACCUGUGAUAGCAAGUAAGCCAUACAACUUUUCAACCAGAAAAUGAAUUGGUUUAUUUCAAAAUAUGUGCUUUUGCACUCUUUUUGUAAUCUAUCGUUUCCAGACUUUCUUACUAUCCUUUUAGGCUUCCUUCUAGAUGAAUUCUAAUGGAGCUUAGUUUCAGUGGUCAUUACACGUUUGUUAGAAUUUGCUAAUUAUCCAUGCUUUAUACUUCUGAAGAUAAAGUUGUAGUUCUUCCUUUUUUUUAAUUCUACUGAUGACAUUUUGAAGGUUCUAAGAUGUCAGGAGAAUGUGGUAAAGACAUAUUGAGGUCUGGCUGUGGUGGCUCACACCUUUAAUCGCAGCACUUGGGGCAGAGGUAGGUGGAUCUCUAUGAAUUCAAGGCUAGCCUGGCAUACAGAGCAAGUUCCAGGAAAGCCAGGGCUACAUAGAGGAACCCUUUCUUGAAAAAAUGACUUUUAAAAAAGCCAUAUUGAAAGAACUAUCACACUUUUUUUUUACUCAAAAUGCAGCCCUGUACCCACAGGAAUACAGUCAAGCCUUCAGGAGACAUAACUGUGUGAAAUGCAUGCCUCUGUAGGAGCUCCCAGAGUGUGGCAUCUUAUGGAUGGCCAUUUCUUUCUGGUUUUUCAAUUGUUCCCUUUCUGGCCUGAUUCUUUCCCACUUAAUACACAUGUACACAUAAACACAUUCAUAUGUUCAUGUACUUGUAUGUAUACGUGUAUUCAUGUGCAUAUGGACAUGGUUAUCAAAUACUCAGACUAAAAUCAGUUGAGAAUUUAAAAUGUUCUUUUGAUUUGGUGAUGGGGCAGUCACCUGUGAAUAGAUUGACUUCAUGAUGAAAACAAGAAUUUUGUUGGAAAACUUGAAAAGUGGACAGGAGGUAAAUGAAGGAGUGCAGACUGCUUUCCUAAUAUACUUGGCUAGUAAGUAAAGGAAAGUUUUACAGGAUCAAGUUGAAAGUCACAGCUAAGAAACUCUAUAUUUAGAUCUUCGUAAGCAACUUGUUUAGAAAGUGGUGUCAUAGGCUUGUAGAGUCCUGUCCUUCAGGGUGGGGGAGGAAAGCAAGGAGAAGAGAAGGAAUAUUCUUAGGGCCCAGCCUUCAAGAGUUUUCAGUUCAUGGACUUGAUCCUUUGGAACUCUUGCCUGGCUCUGAGACAUGAUGCUAAACAACAAACUAUGCAAUGCACUACCAACCUUCCUAUACUACUGAACUACUUCCCCUGGAUGUCCUAUAGGUAAGUCAAAGUCCAAGUCAAAAUUUAAUGCUUUGUCCAAUUCCCAAGCUUGUACCUUUCUCCCCUAUAUUAGCAUUCUUAGUGAAUAUAUACCCAUUACAUACCUAGAAACCCUAGCAAGUCAUCCCUGUGUAUCUGAGGCCGCCAUUUCUUCCCUGCACUUGACAUCUAAUUGUCAAUGGCUCCUAUACGUCUAAUUUCACCUGAAGUGCUCAUGCCCCUUUCCACCCUAACUGCCACAUUCUUAGAGUAGGUUACGAUCAAGUGUCGCCUACACUGUUGUUACCAUUUACUAAUUACUUUCUCAUUCUCUGCACAUCCAAAUACUAUCCUUAUAUCACCCUCCACACCACUGAAAAAGUGAGUCUUUCAAAAUGCAUUCUGACCAUGCCAUCCCAUAGGCUAAACCGUUAUUUCUUACUAAGGCAAUAUUCUUAAAGAGUCUGAUUGUGCCUGCUUACCCUUUCCUGUUUCAAACUGCACUGUACCUGAUACCUUAACUCCACUUCAGAGAGAAUGGGUUUUAAUCAAACUACUUAUUUUAGAGAGAAGGAAGCAUUCCUGCUGAAGAGAAUGUCCUGUGUAUAAAGCAAUUUUAAUGAGUCUUUUGAAUAUGCACAUACAGAAUCCUAAACUUUGUGGAGAUUCUGAAAGCUAAAACAAGAGAAUUAGGGUAUGAGUCUUGAAGCAGGUACGAGUUAAAGUCACUGUGACUGAAGCCAUACAAAGGCAAAUGACAAGCAUCGAGGGAUCUAAUGAGAAGAUAGAGAAUUUUGCAGACCACCAUGAGGCAUUCCUGUUGCUGUAGAGGGAAAAUGAUUGACUGUUGGCUAUGAGAAAAUGUACAGAUAGAGGCUCUGAAUUCAAUGGUGGUCUCCUAAAAUAUGGGUGAGAUGGGCAAACAGAUACACAGAGACACUCAACUGUAAGGCCCAGCGGAGAUACAGUCAAGUGGACAACUUGAAAGGGAGAUGGCAGCAGUGGGCCGAUGACCACAUACAGUCACAGAAG
Peromyscus eremicus (cactus mouse) is the source of this 3722-nucleotide RNA transcript. It is a transcript of the gene named actin binding Rho activating protein, with no coding region annotated. The record is from RefSeq and is a predicted model, not a curated record. The transcript is spliced from 3 exons. Lineage: Eukaryota; Metazoa; Chordata; Mammalia; Rodentia; Cricetidae.